RNAcentral lists this ribosomal RNA (478 nucleotides) under uncultured bacterium. Its description in RNAcentral is "partial 16S ribosomal RNA". It matches the Rfam family "Bacterial small subunit ribosomal RNA", at positions 28 to 507 of the family's 1533-position model. The record is from RNAcentral.
GAUGAACGCUAGCGGCAGGCCUAACACAUGCAAGUCGAGGGAGAAGCCCUUUCGGGGGCAGAAACCGGCGCACGGGUGCGUAACGCGUAUGCAACCUACCUUUCACAGGGGGAUAGCCCGAAGAAAUUUGGAUUAAUACCCCAUAAUAUUAUUGGAUGGCAUCAUUUGAUAAUUAAAACUGCGGUGGUGAAAGAUGGGCAUGCGUCCUAUUAGCUAGUUGGAGUGGUAACGGCACCCCAAGGCUACGAUAGGUAGGGGUCCUGAGAGGGAGAUCCCCCACACUGGUACUGAGACAGGGACCAGACUCCUACGGGAGGCAGCAGUGAGGAAUAUUGAUCAAUGGUCGGAAGACUGAACCAGCCAUGCCGCGUGCAGGAAGAAUGCCUUAUGGGUUGUAAACUGCUUUUAUAUGGGAAGAAUAAGGCGUACGUGUACGCUGAUGACGGUACCAUAUGAAUAAGCAUCGGCUAACUCCGUG